RNAcentral lists this ribosomal RNA (468 nucleotides) under uncultured bacterium. RNAcentral's name for it is "partial 16S ribosomal RNA". It matches the Rfam family "Bacterial small subunit ribosomal RNA", at positions 28 to 507 of the family's 1533-position model. The record is from RNAcentral.
GACGAACGCUGGCGGCGUGCUUAACACAUGCAAGUCGAACGGAAAGGCCCUGCUUUUGUGGGGUGCUCGAGUGGCGAACGGGUGAGUAACACGUGAGUAACCUGCCCUUGACUUUGGGAUAACUUCAGGAAACUGGGGCUAAUACCGGAUAGGAGCUCCUGCUGCAUGGUGGGGGUUGGAAAGUUUCGGCGGUUGGGGAUGGACUCGAGGCUUAUCGGCUUGUUGGUGGGGUAGUGGUUUACCAAGGCUUUGACGGGUAGCCGGCCUGAGAGGGUGACCGGCCACAUUGGGACUGAGAUACGCCGCAGACGGCUACGGGAGGCAGCAGGCGAGAAUAUUGCACAAUGGGCGGAAGCCUGAUACAGCAACGCCGCGUGCGGGAUGACGGCCUUCGGGUUGUAAACCGCUUUCGCCUGUGACGAAGCGUGAGUGACGGUAAUGGGUAAAGAAGCACCGGCUAACUACGUG